GCAGCUUGUGUCUCUAAGUUUG
This 22-nucleotide non-coding RNA is filed under the name Arabidopsis thaliana (thale cress). Lineage: Eukaryota; Viridiplantae; Streptophyta; Magnoliopsida; Brassicales; Brassicaceae. The record is from RNAcentral.